GCUAUAUUGGCAGAAAAGUGCAAUGAAUUUAGAAUUCAUUUAUGUAAUUUAAUUACAUAUAGUA
RNAcentral lists this transfer RNA (64 nucleotides) under Loxoblemmus equestris. Its description in RNAcentral is "tRNA-Leu". RNAcentral also lists the same sequence under 2 other names. Lineage: Eukaryota; Metazoa; Arthropoda; Insecta; Orthoptera; Gryllidae. The record is from RNAcentral.